CUCGUAGGCGGCUUCGUAAGUCAGAGGUGAAAUCUGAUGGCUCAACCAUCAACCCGCCUUUGAAACUACAAAGCUUGAGUUCAUGAGAGGAAAGUGGAAUUCCUGGUGUAGCGGUGAAAUGCGUAGAUAUCAGGAGGAACACCAGUGGCGAAGGCGGCUUUCUGGCAUGAAACUGACGCUGAGGAGCGAAAGCCAGGGGAGCGAACG
This 207-nucleotide ribosomal RNA is filed under the name uncultured bacterium. RNAcentral's name for it is "partial 16S ribosomal RNA". It matches the Rfam family "Bacterial small subunit ribosomal RNA", at positions 568 to 774 of the family's 1533-position model. The record is from RNAcentral.